This 248-nucleotide long non-coding RNA is filed under the name Zostera marina. RNAcentral describes it as "long non-coding RNA (ZMAR_LNC005270)". Lineage: Eukaryota; Viridiplantae; Streptophyta; Magnoliopsida; Alismatales; Zosteraceae. The record is from RNAcentral.
AACCUCUCCUCUAAAGCGGGAGGAGCCGAUGUUUGGGGGCGCUCACUGACUUGAGGCUCCUCAGGCCGUUCUGGCCUGCUUUGUUGAGGAGGGUCAGCUUGGUCCCUUUCAGGUAUCAUCGAGGAUUUACUUUUAGACCUCAGAUGAUGGUUGUGCUUUUGUCUUUCGGAAGACAUUGCAGACAAAAGCGUGUUCCAACUAGAGAGCAAGUGUUGCUAGAACUAGCCCGAGAGAAAGAACCAAGUGGA